Non-coding RNA from Podarcis lilfordi (Lilford's wall lizard), 4304 nucleotides. NCBI's taxonomy places the organism in Eukaryota, Metazoa, Chordata, Lepidosauria, Squamata, Lacertidae. The record is from the annotation of a GenBank genome assembly.
AUUUGAACUUUGGGGUCCCUUCUUCUGAUGAAUAUCCAUUGUGGACUAUCACUGACCGUACUCAAGGUGAAGUCUGUAAACUUCAGAGAUAAUUUAAACUUCACAGAUUUUCUCAUGGGUGAGAUGUGUGAAUCUGCACUUCAGAUAUUACAUCAGAAUUAGUAAUUCUGGCAAGAUUUGUUUGUCGUUGACCUCUGAAACAGCCUAGGGAUAUGAGGAUCUGUCAGUUUCAGUUUCUCAUUUUUCCAAUCUUAAGUUCAAUUCUCCACCUUUCCAUAUCAGUUUUUGACUUUUUUUAAAGGGCCUCAUGAAAAUUCAUAAGCAUUCAUCUGCAUUUUUCCUCGUAAACAUAUUUUUGUAUGCAAUUUUGCCUGAGACACACAUUUUGGAAAAGCAAUUUCCACUCAUAUAAUGAUUGCUUGUAAUUCAUUUUCUAUUUUUUAAAAUUUUUUUAGAAAGUUUUUUACUGAAAACAUCCAUACAACCACAGAAAACAGACAAAGAAAGAAUACACAAUUCAUACAUAACCUAACUCCCACCACCCAUAACACCCCUGUGACUUCCCUGCACCGCAACUCAACAUCCUUAAGUCCUAGAAAUUCAUCUACCAUUGCAUCUUUUAUAUAUUACUUCUCAUAUAUGCCUUACUAUUUAUUAAUUUAAUUUAUUCUUUACAUACCUCGUCCAUGCAUAUCAACAUAUUCUCUUUAGAAAAGUGAUUUUUCAUAUAAUCUUCAAAACAUUGCCAUUCUGAUUUUAGUUUUUUAUUUGUCUGAUGUCUUAUGGCUGCUGUUAACCUUGCCAAUUCUAUGAAUUCAUUUAGUUUGCAUAUCCAAUCUUCUUUUGUAGGUAUGUUAUUCAAUCUCACUAAUAUAUGCAUUUUAAUGCAUAUUUUACCCUAGUACAUAUUACUUGGCUGUAGAACUGCACUGACAAAUUAUGAGAAGUAAGAAUUUCAAAGAAUGGCUGUGUUUCAGUUCGUGUAUUUUUUCAGAAACCGUGAACUGGGUAGGUUUUUUAAUGGACUCUGAAUCGAAACUCUCCCCCAGCCUUAAUAAGAGUCUCAUUGAUGCAAAAUAAGAUACCAGCAAUUUAAGUCAGAUGAGGAAGUCUAAUACUAGAUAUGACCCGCAACCCAGACCGGUCAUUUACCCCCAUGAAACCUUUUGAUUGUGAUAAGCAAGAUUUUCUUAGCUGUAAUAAAGUGACAUUCUCUCGCUAGGAAUGAAAUAUUAUCUCUCCUCCCAAGAGAUUCAUUUCCCCUCAACUUGUUGAGAUUGAGCCCUAGGCCACCUGCAUGUGAGCUAUCAGGAAACACGGUGCUCUCACUUAACCACCAGACAGCUAUCCAAAUAGCAAAGCGAGGGGCUAUCAGAGUUAAUGCUGGUGUGUGCUAAAAUAAAAGAACUCUCUGAGGUACAGCCAUGUUGCUCUUGCCAUUUGUCAGGUGUAUAAUCACCCUGGAGAAUAGGAAUAGUCAGGCCUUUGUAAAACUAUGAAUCAAUGUUCUCUGAACAAUUCAACUACUGUGUUUAGGUCAGGUCAAUACCUUCCUGUCUCCAAACACUACUUAAGCCCUCCUGCCUUGCAGGGCCCAUUACAUCAAGAGAUAUCGCUAGUGCUGCUGAAAAUCACAGCUUGCAAUGUAAUACGAAGAGAUCCCUCUUAAUAGCCCUUUCAUAUGAACAGCGGUUGGGGGAGUUGCCUGGGAACAUUAAUCCUUGUUUUCAAAAUGAUGCCCCAUAACUCUGCGGCUAUAAUGUGGAGAGGAGAGGAUUUGAUGUGUGUGCAGGCAGAAGUCAGAACUGCAGUAAAACAUUUUACUUCUAGAAAUUUGAGCAAAGUCACUUUCAUAUAUACAAUACUGUAUGGUUUUUGAAGGCGCCUUGAAUUCACUUCCAACUAAUACAGUGGUACCUCGGGUUAAGAGCUUAAUUUGUUCUGGAGGUCCGUUCUUAACCUAAAACUGUUCUUAAUCUGAGGUACCACUUAAGCUAAUGGGGCCUCCCACUGCUGCUGCGCCACCACCAAAUUUCUGUUCUCAUCCUGAAGCAAAGUUCUUAACCCAAGGUACUAUUUCUGGGUUAGCGGAGUCUGUAACCUGAAGCGUCUGUAACCUGCAGUAUCUGUAACCUGAAGCAUCUGUAACCCGAGGUACCACUGUAAUGGAGAAUUUUCAGGAAAAUGGAGUGGCUUCCAAGUUUGCAAAGUGGUUUGGGAGUUCCACAGCAGGAAACAGCUCAAUGGCAGAGCAUUUGCCUUGCAUGCACCCCAAGUUCAAUCCCUGGCAGCUCCAGAUAGAGCUCAAAGAGAACUGCUGCCAAUCCGUGUAGACAUUGUUGUUGUUUAGUCAUUUAGUCAUGUCCGGCUCUUCGUGACCCCCUGGACCAGAGCACGCCAGGCCUUCCUGUCUUCCACUGCCUCCCGCAGUUUGGUCAAACUCAUGCUGGUAGCUUCGAGAACACUAUCCAACCAUCUCGUCCUCUGUCGUCCCCUUCUCCUUGUGCCCUCCAUCUUUCCCAACAUCAGGGUCUUUUCCAUGGAAUCUUCUCUUUUCAUGAGGUGGCCAAAGUAUUGGAGCCUCAGCUUCACGAUCUGUCCUUCCAGUGAGCACUCAGGGCUGAUUUCCUUCAGAAUGGAUAGGUUUGAACUUCUUGCAGUCCUUGGGACUCUCAGGAGUCUCCUCCAGCACCAUAAUUCAAAAGCAUCAAUUCUUUGGCGAUCAGCCUUCUUUAUGGUCCAGCUCUCACUUCCAUACAUCACUACUGGUGAAACCAUAGCUUUAACUAUACGGACCUUUGUUGGCAAGGUGAUGUCUCUGCUUUUUAAGAUGCUGUCUAAGUUUGUCUUUGCUUUUGUCCCAAGAAGCAGGCAUCUUUUAGUUUCGUGGCUGCUGUCACCAUCUGCAGUGAUCAUGGAGCCCAAGAAAGUAAUGUGUAGACAUUACUGAGCUAGAUAGACUAAUGGCCUGACUCAAUAGAAGCCAGCUCCCAUGUUCCUAAGCUUCUGGAAAAGAAAGAUAGGAAAUUUGUAAUGGCCACCCCGCCCCUUGAAUCAUAAGCCACAAGCUUCAUCAUCCUUGCUACUAUUUAAAAGCUGGUGCCGUGUAGAUGGGACAUCUUUAGCCUCAUUUAUGAACUCACAAUGGCCUUAGGCAAGCCAUGGUGGUAUCUACCUAACCCUUUGCUACCAUGCUGUUUGUUUUCUGGCUGAAAUGGUGGCUGCAAGUGGGAAGUGCAUAUUGCAGGGCUUCGUUCUGGUGGUCCAUGGCAUUUCCGUGAAAAACGGUGGGAUCAGUGGCUGCGAAUGGCAAGUGUAGUGAUUCCUCCAUCAUCCUAAUAGCCAGGGGUGUCUGUCUGGAAGGUGAGGGGGUUGUACCAAAGUGAUGGGCAGAGGAAGAGACUUUAAAGGAGGGGAGAGGUUUAGGCACAAGAAAUAAUGAUGAUGAUAACAGAAGCAAAAAAACACUCCACAAUUAAAAUAUCCUACAGCAUCUAUAAUAAUAAUAAUAAUUUAUUAUUUAUACCCCACCCAUCUGGUUGGGUUUCCCCAGCCACUCUGUGUGGCUUCCAACUGAAUAUUAAAAACAAUACAGCAUCAGACAUUAAAAAGAUCCCUAUACAGGGCCUCCUUCAGUUGUCUUUUAAAAGUAAAAUAGUUGUUUAUUGCCUUGACUUCUGCUGGGAGGGCGUUCCACAGGGCAGGCACCACUACCGAGAAGGCCCUCUGCCUGGUUCCCUGUAACCUCACUUCUCACAGUGAGGGUACCACCAGAAGGCCCUCGGAGCUGGGCCUCAGUGUCCGGGCUGGAUGAUGGGGGUGGAGACGCUCCUUAAGGUAUACAGGAUAUAACACAGUAUGAUUGCUGCAAUAUGCAAAACAACAACAACAACAACAACAACACACACAAAAACCCCCAAACCAUUAAGUGGUCUGCCAAGACCCUCAGAAAGUUUCAGUUGGUCCCUGGUGGGAAAGUUUUUGUACCUGGCAUAUCACUUUUAAGAGAGCCUGCAUGAGAGUCUCCUUCUCAAAAGUCUGGAUAGAGUUUCUUUCUUUCUCUUUCUUAGCCUUAAAACUGAGACAGUGUGCCCGUGGCUCAAAAACUGGUGUUUUUUCUUUUCUUUUUUGGUUACAGAACACUGUUGUGAAGGUACCCGAGUCUUCUGUGUGUAGCCUGAUGACCAAAGCUUUGGAGUGACUAAGCACAACCCACAUAUCAACCACUCCCAAGGGACAUUGCAGCCAGUCGGGGAGGACACAAUUUUUGCAAAGAGGUGUCUGCAAAGAGAUUACAGGAGUGC